CCCCUAGUAACUGCGAGUGAAGCGGGAAGAGCUCAAAUUUUGAAUCUGGCGGUCUUUGGGCCGUCCGAGUUGUAAUCUAGAGAAGCGUCUUCCGCGCUGGACCGUGUAUAAGUCUCCUGGAAGGGAGCGUCAUAGAGGGUGAGAAUCCCGUCUUUGACACGGACCGCCAGUGCUAUGUGAUGCGCUCUCGACGAGUCGAGUUGUUUGGGAAUGCAGCUCAAAACGGGUGGUAAAUUCCAUCUAAAGCUAAAUACAGGCGAGAGACCGAUAGCGAACAAGUACCGUGAGGGAAAGAUGAAAAGAACUUUGGAAAGAGAGUUAAACAGUACGUGAAAUUGCUGAAAGGGAAACGCUUGAUGUCAGUCGCGUCGCCUGGGAAUCAACCUUGCUUCUCGCUGGGUGUACUUCCUGGUCGACGGGUCAGCAUCAGUUUCGGUCGCCGUACAAGGGCGAGGGGAACGUGGCACCCUUUGGGGUGUGUUAUAGCCCUUCGUCGCAUGCGGCGGUUGGGACUGAGGAACUCAGCACGGCUUCCG
RNAcentral lists this ribosomal RNA (536 nucleotides) under Rubroboletus flammeus. RNAcentral's name for it is "Rubroboletus sp. NKZ-2022a partial large subunit ribosomal RNA". It matches the Rfam family "Eukaryotic large subunit ribosomal RNA", at positions 77 to 611 of the family's 3401-position model. The record is from RNAcentral. Lineage: Eukaryota; Fungi; Basidiomycota; Agaricomycetes; Boletales; Boletaceae.